GCGGCAACAGCUCAAAUUUGAAAUCUGGCUCUCGGGCCCGAGUUGUAAUUUGUAGAGGAUGCUUUUGGUGAGGUGCCUUCCGAGUUCCCUGGAACGGGACGCCAUAGAGGGUGAGAGCCCCGUCUGGUUGGACACCGAUCCUCUGUAAAGCUCCUUCGACGAGUCGAGUAGUUUGGGAAUGCUGCUCUAAAUGGGAGGUAUAUGUCUUCUAAAGCUAAAUACCGGCCAGAGACCGAUAGCGCACAAGUAGAGUGAUCGAAAGAUGAAAAGAACUUUGAAAAGAGAGUUAAAAAGUACGUGAAAUUGUUGAAAGGGAAGCGCUUGUGACCAGACUUGGGCUUGGUUGAUCAUCCGGGGUUCUCCCCGGUGCACUCUUCCGGCUCAGGCCAGCAUCAGUUCGCCCUGGGGGAUAAAGGCUUCGGGAAUGUGGCUCUCUCCGGGGAGUGUUAUAGCCCGCUGCGUAAUACCCUGUGGCGGACUGAGGUUCGCGCAUUCGCAAGGAUGCUGGCGUAAUGGUCAUCAGUGACCCGUCUUGAAACACGGACCAAGGAGUCGUCUUCGUAUGCGAGUGUUCGGGUGUCAAACCCCUACGCGAAAUGAAAGUGAACGCAGGUGAGAGCUUCGGCGCAUCAUCGACCGAUCCUGAUGUUAUCGGAUGGAUUUGAGUAAGAGCAUACGGGGCCGGACCCGAAAGAAGGUGAACUAUGCCUGUGUAGGGUGAAGCCAGAGGAAACUCUGGUGGAGGCUCGCAGCGGUUCUGACGUGCAAAUCGAUCGUCAAACAUGGGCAUGGGGGCGAAAGACUAAUCGAACCUUCUAGUAGCUGGUUUCCGCCGAAGUUUCCCUCAGGAUAGCAGUGUUGAACUCAGUUUUAUGAGGUAAAGCGAAUGAUUAGGGACUCGGGGGCGCUAUUUAGCCUUCAUCCAUUCUCAAACUUUAAAUAUGUAAGAAGCCCUUGUUGCUUAAUUGAACGUGGGC
RNAcentral lists this ribosomal RNA (977 nucleotides) under Fusarium falciforme. RNAcentral describes it as "partial large subunit ribosomal RNA". It matches the Rfam family "Eukaryotic large subunit ribosomal RNA", at positions 98 to 1106 of the family's 3401-position model. The record is from RNAcentral. Lineage: Eukaryota; Fungi; Ascomycota; Sordariomycetes; Hypocreales; Nectriaceae.